UGGGUAGGUGGGUGGGUGGAGGGGUUAGUGCUUGGGCGGGUGGGUGGCCGGGCAGCACAUGCAAAGUGGACUAGGGUGCAUUUCCUAAGGGAGGGGGUGUGACCCCAAGAAAGGCUGCGGAAUAGCCCUGGAACAUUUAAAAGGCGACCUGAACUGGGUCACCAUGCUGUCCAGUAGAAAAAACUGACAGAACACGGUAAACCAGCAACAAUGGAAAAAAUACAAAUCACUAUAAAAAGAAAUAAAACACUUGGAGUGCCUGUCAUGGCACAGCAGAAACGAAUCUGACUAGGAACCACGAGGUUGCAGGUUCGAUCCCUGGCCUCACUCAGUAGGUUAAGGAUCCGGCAUUGCCCUGAGCUGCGGUGUAGAUCGCAGACACGGCUCAGAUCUGGCGUGGCUGUGGCUGUGGCUGUGGUGUAGGCCGGCAUCUGUAGCUCCGAUUAGACCCCUAGCCUGGGAACCUCCAUAUGCCACGGGUGUGACCCUUAAAAGCAAAACAAAAACAGAAACAAAAAAACACUGACUUUUUAAGGUGUUAAAAAUUAAUAAAUAAAGACCAUCUGACAUGUACACAGAGUACCUCUAGCAGGAAACAGGACCCUCCCCUGGGAAAGGGCAGCCAGACCCCAACCCCUGCAGCCCCCUGUACCAGCCCCCUUUUAAACCACCUCCUGAGGCAGUUUUCAACCGCCUGCUGCCCACCAGCACUGCGGACCCCUCCCCGCUCUGAAUGAAGGCGACCGUAACAGUGAGUGGCAGUCACAAAGUCUCACUCAGCAGAUACAUGGGUCCGGCCCAUUUUACAAAAGGACUGGAUGGAAUGCGAGCAACUCCCCUGGCCAUGAAGCGAGUGACGGGGCCCGCACCGUGGGGACCGUGCCCAGGUGCAGGUGACGUGGGACGGCCUGUGUCAGCCACCGACUCACCUGGGCUCUUCUGAGAAGAGACUGAGUUAGCGCUGGAGCCUGGCUGCGGGGCUUGCCCACCUGGGGCUGGGAAGGGUGCCCCGAGGAGGGCACGCAUGGCAGAGGCAGGGCAGCUGGCGCUGCAGGAACAGAGGCGCCUGUGCACCAGGGCGGGGGUGGCCAGGCGGCUGGAGGGUCUGAAAACCCAGGCCAAGAGUUGGGAUUUUCCUCUGCCGGCAACGAGGCGCCUCUAAGGCUUAAGGGAUUCCCAAAGCAUUUUCAUUGUUUAAAAACUGUGCAAAUUGGCUGCAUAUCACCUUGAACUCUCCUGAGGAACGUUACCAAAAUUUAAAAUAAUAGCGCUGCUCCUGUGAAGGCUAAAGAGCGAUUGGGGACCAGCGGUUCCCCGGCACUCGGCCCGAGAGCCAGACUACUCACCCCAACCCCAGGCACAGUGCGGCCCGUGAGGUCACCCGACCAGAGACACCAACACAGGCCGGGGGAUGCAGCCCGAGGGACCCGGGUGGUGAGGGGUGGCAGCUGGAGCAGGAUUUUAGGCCUCACCGUGGGAAAGGCCGGGCUGAGGGGGGUGGCCUGGCCGGCUUCGCUCUGGAGCGGGCGGGUGCCGGGGGCUCCUCCCGCCUCUGCGCCCCCUCGGGAGGACCCCUCCGCUGGUUUGGGUGAGCGACAGCACGGCUCCCCGCCCAGCGUGGGGACCGGGGGUGGGCCUGUGGGCUCCCCAGCCCCUCUCAGUUCCUGCCCAACCCGGCACACCUGCGGAUGAAGCCAGGCCCACGAGAGACCCGCCGCUGCGGGGGCAGCAGGCCGCUCCUCCCCCCGCCCCCGCCCCUUCGUGCAGGAGGCCGGAGCCACGGCGAAAGCUCAGGCUUCCUCUGUCAUUAUCGUGGUCAGCGCUCACAGCACCAGACAGGCCAGGACGCUCAGAGAGCUCCAGGUCUGCCCCCAAGGCCACACAGCACCGGCAUGGGCUGCGACCUCCCAAGGACUCUGCAGGUACCGCCGGCCCCAGCCGCUCUGUGCCCUGCUCACCUCCUCCGAUACCUGCUGUCUCAUUUUCCGAUUUAGCCCCAGCAGCGCAGGAGAAGCCUGGAGGCAGCUGGCCCUGCCUCGGGGUAGGAGGUGGGGUGGGGGCACACGGAGCCCUGGACUGCUCCGCAUCCCGGGGCCAUCUACCCAGGGCCCUGCUCCCUGACGGAUUCCAGAACAGUUCACCUCCCUGCCCCCGGAACCAUGGAAAUGCUCCAGAAAUUCCGAUCGUACGUCGCUCAAAAGGGGCCCGGCCACCCCGAGCACUGCCCCUCGAAGGUGCUCCUCUGACCUCUGCUCUUCAACCAGAUCCCAGACGGCCAGUCACACCCCGCGAGCGCAGAUCAGGCCCUAGGCCAGGCCCCAGGCCACCCUCACCGCCAGCACGCGGCUCGCACGGCCGCUGAGCCACCACAAAGGCAGGUGGGAAGGAAGCCGCCCCCUCCCCACCCAGAGGACCACUGGGCAGGCAGGACGCCCCGUCGUGGGGGAGGCCCGAGAGCCGGUCCCCGCCACCUGGGAACAGCACCGCUGCCUUUCCUCUGAGUUAAGGCAAACUGAGUCCCGGGGAAGCAAACCUUUUAAACAGAUGUUUCCUCUUGGCACGGAGCCCCCGGGCGGGGCCUGCCUGCUCGCACACGGAGGCGCAGGGGGACCGAGUGAUUUCAAUUCUUCUUUUUAGGAAGGGGGAGGAAAAUAUUUUUAAAAAUGUGUUUUACAAGCCUGCCUUUGCCAUUGUUUGUGUAAACAGGUAAAUUGUUUCCUGCCUCAAUUAAAAACAUCUGCCACAUAAAUGAAUACCAA
This is a non-coding RNA of Sus scrofa (pig), 2759 nucleotides long. The record is from RefSeq and is a predicted model, not a curated record. NCBI's taxonomy places the organism in Eukaryota, Metazoa, Chordata, Mammalia, Artiodactyla, Suidae.